RNAcentral lists this long non-coding RNA (462 nucleotides) under Durio zibethinus. RNAcentral describes it as "long non-coding RNA (DZIB_LNC001161)". Lineage: Eukaryota; Viridiplantae; Streptophyta; Magnoliopsida; Malvales; Malvaceae. The record is from RNAcentral.
UUGAGAAAAGGAAGAAAAAAAAUAAGAAAUGAAGAGGCAAAAAUAUGAAAGAAAAGAAAAAGAAAAAAAUUUAUAGAAAAUUUUAAAACGAAGGAAAAAGUUAACAAAAAAAAAAUGAAAGCACAUAAAAAAAAGAAGAAAAAUUUGAAAGGAGAAAAAGUUAAUGAAAAAUUAUAAAAAUGCAAUAGAAAAUAACCGAGAAUGAUAAAAGAAAAGAAGAUAGAAAAAUAAAAAAUUCCAAAACUUUAUAAAAAUUUAUGAAACUAUAAACAAAGAAAGAAAAUAAAAAAGAAAAAGAAAAAAGAUAAAUAAAGCACAAAAAAAGAAAUAAAAGAAAAAUACAACAAAAAAUAUAAAAAGUAAGAAAAUAAAAAAGGACAAAAAUUGAAUAAAAAUUUCAAAAAUGAAAUGGAAUGACAAAAUGAAAAAAAAUAGUUUAAAAAAUACAAAAAAUUGAAAAAC